This 496-nucleotide ribosomal RNA is filed under the name uncultured bacterium. Its description in RNAcentral is "partial 16S ribosomal RNA". It matches the Rfam family "Bacterial small subunit ribosomal RNA", at positions 29 to 507 of the family's 1533-position model. The record is from RNAcentral.
AUGCACGCUGGCGGCGUGCCUAAUACCUGCAAGUCGAGCGAACGGACGAGAAGCUUGCUUCUCUGAUGUUAGCGGCGGACGGGUGAGUAACACGUGGAUAACCUACCUAUAAGACUGGGAUAACUUCGGGAAACCGGAGCUAAUACCGGAUAAUAUUUUGAACCGCAUGGUUCAAAAGUGAAAGACGGUCUUGCUGUCACUUAUAGAUGGAUCCGCGCUGCAUUAGCUAGUUGGUAAGGUAACGGCUUACCAAGGCAACGAUGCAUAGCCGACCUGAGAGGGUGAUCGGCCACACUGGAACUGAGACACGGUCCCGACUCCUACGGGAGGCAGCAGUAGGGAAUAUUCCGCAAUGGGCGAAAGCCUGCCGGAGCAACGCCGCGUGCGUGAUGAAGGUCUUCGGCUCGUAAAGCUCUGUUAUUAGGGAAGAACAUAUGUGUACUUAACUGUGCACAUCUUGACGGUACCUAAUCAGAAAGCCACGGCUAACUACGUG